GGGCACAUGGUGUAGUUGGUUAUCACAUCCGCUUAGCAUUGUAUGCAUACCAGGCGCUUGACUCAUAAGCUUGCGGGGGGUGCUGGGUUCAAUUCCCAGUGUGUCCA
This is a non-coding RNA of Paramarasmius palmivorus, 107 nucleotides long. The record is from the annotation of a GenBank genome assembly. NCBI's taxonomy places the organism in Eukaryota, Fungi, Basidiomycota, Agaricomycetes, Agaricales, Marasmiaceae.